CGCGCAGGCGGAUUGAUAAGUCAGGUGUGAAAUCUCGGGGCUCAACCUCGAAAUGCGCCUGAAACUAUUAGUCUAGAAUGUCGGAGGGGGCAGGGGAAUUUCACGUGUAGGGGUAAAAUCCGUAGAGAUGUGAAGGAACACCGGAGGCGAAGGCGCCUGCCUGGACGACUAUUGACGCUGAGGCGCGAAAGCGUGGGGAGCAAACA
Molecule: ribosomal RNA, 206 nt
Filed under: uncultured delta proteobacterium
Lineage: Bacteria; Deltaproteobacteria
Description: partial 16S ribosomal RNA
Rfam family: Bacterial small subunit ribosomal RNA
Source: RNAcentral